Molecule: ribosomal RNA, 180 nt
Filed under: uncultured bacterium
Lineage: Bacteria
Description: partial 16S ribosomal RNA
Rfam family: Bacterial small subunit ribosomal RNA
Source: RNAcentral
CAUGAAGCUGGAAUCGCUAGUAAUCGCGGAUCAGCAUGCCGCGGUGAAUACGUUCCCGGGCCUUGUACACACCGCCCGUCACACCAUGGGAGUCGGUAACACCCGAAGCCGAUAGUCUAACGAAAGAGGACGUCGUCGAAGGUGGGAUUGAUGACUGGGGUGAAGUCGUAACAAGGUAAC